This 281-nucleotide unclassified non-coding RNA is filed under the name Helotiales sp. RNAcentral's name for it is "partial contains 5.8S ribosomal RNA, internal transcribed spacer 2, and large subunit ribosomal RNA". The stretch from base 1 to 71 matches the Rfam family "5.8S ribosomal RNA", at positions 84 to 154 of the family's 154-position model. The record is from RNAcentral. Lineage: Eukaryota; Fungi; Ascomycota; Leotiomycetes; Helotiales.
GUGAGUCAUCGAAUCUUUGAACGCACAUUGCACCCUCUGGUAUUCCGGGGGGUAUGCCUGUUCGAGCGUCAUUUCAACCCUCAAGCCUAGCUUGGUAUUGGAUGUCACCUAGCAUGGUGCAUCUUAAAAUCAGUGGCGGUACCAUUCAGCUUCAAGUGCAGUAAUACUCUCGCUUUGGAGAUUGGAUGUGGGCUUGCCAUCAACCCCCUUAAUCUAUCAAAGGUUGACCUCGGAUCAGGUAGGGAUACCCGCUGAACUUAAGCAUAUCAAUAAGCGGAGGA